AAAAAAGGCCUUUACGUCUUAUCACCAACCCAUCGUAUGUCUCAUAGAAUGUAAAUAUAUGUCCUCGCCUUAAAAAGCGUUGAUAAACUUAUACAACUUUCAACAACGGAUCUCUUGGCUCUCGCAUCGAUGAAGAACGCAGCGAAAUGCGAUAAGUAAUGUGAAUUGCAGAUUUUCAGUGAAUCAUCGAAUCUUUGAACGCACCUUGCGCUCCUUGGUAUUCCGAGGAGCAUGCCUGUUUGAGUGUCAUUAAAUUCUCAAACUCCGAUCGAUUUGUUUCGACUUCGGGGCUUGGAUUUGGAGCGUGCUGGCGUCGGUCGGCUCCUCUUAAACGCAUCAGCGGAAUCUAACGUUCCGGACGUCAGUGUGAUAAUCACGUUGCGCUGUCUUUCGGUCCGAAAAGCCCGCUCACAAUGGUCUUCGGACAACUUCAUAUCAAA
This 440-nucleotide ribosomal RNA is filed under the name fungal sp. JH 30. RNAcentral's name for it is "eukaryotic LSU rRNA". The stretch from base 95 to 249 matches the Rfam family "5.8S ribosomal RNA". Lineage: Eukaryota; Fungi. The record is from RNAcentral.